This 2675-nucleotide long non-coding RNA is filed under the name Lathyrus oleraceus (garden pea). RNAcentral describes it as "Pisum sativum (pea) long non-coding RNA (PSAT_LNC033374)". Lineage: Eukaryota; Viridiplantae; Streptophyta; Magnoliopsida; Fabales; Fabaceae. The record is from RNAcentral.
AGUUUGAGGGUGGAGGGGGAAGUCGGUUAUGAUGAUCUUUACGACCAAGUCUUUGAGUUCUACCGUAGUAAAUACUGCGGAAAGGUGAUGAUGUUAGUAGUUAUAGGAGGAGGUAGUUUUUUAUACUAAAUCUAUUAAAGUUUCAUUCUUACCAAUUCAUCACGUUGUAUAUUUAAAAUUAUCAUAUUUAGUACAUAAUGAACAUAUAUAUUGUCCUUACUAAGCUUCUUGUAUACAGAGCCUAUUCAAAUAAAAUUAUCAUAUUUAGUACAUAAUGAACAUAUAUAUUGUCCUUACUAAGCUUCUUGUAUACAGAGCCUAUUCAAAUUCUUCAAGGUUGGGUUGAAAGUUUUUUCAACUCUAUUAAAAAGUGUGACUUAAAAAAGUUUCGAAAACAAGUAUAUCCAACUGGGUUUCAAUGGUACCUCUAUCCAAUUCGGGUUUGACAGUGAGUUCAGGCAAAAAAUAGAAAAAUAAUGCUUCCAAAAAAGCAUUCUAUUCGGGAAUUCGGUAUUUUAUACGGUUUAAAUGAUCCCACCGGUGAUGAUAUACUGUUAGUUUCAUUGACAUAUUAACAUUUAAAUUUUUUUUUUAAAUUAUCAAUUUGAUGAUUUUUUUUGAACCGUACGGUUUUAUAAAAAUCGGCUCCGAUUAUUUGGUACGAAUGGUUUUGGAAGGUUCAAUCCGUUUUUUUUUGUUUUACUCUGAUUUUGACCCAUUAACGAGUUUGAAAGGUUGACCAAACCAGAUUUAUCUCUGGUUCAUGGUCCAACCGGUUGAACCGGCUAAUUCGGUCUGGUUUUUAAAACACUGUCUAAAAUGAAAAUUUGAAUUUAAAAAUAAAAUAAAAGAUGUUUAAAUGCAUCUUUUUAUUAAUUUAAAAUAUUUUUUUAUAUUUUUUUGUCUAUCACUCUUUGCUUAUCCCCUUUGAUUUUUCGUUUUUUCUUCUUUAAUAUCCCAUAUUCCCUUAGAUGCUCAAUUAGUUGUCAGUUGAGAUCAAUUGAGUUCCGGUGUACUCUAUCUUUUGUUAGUUGUAACAAUUGGAGAUCCUAUGUGCUCUAAAUAUUGUCAAUUUGGACCAAUAAAGUAAGCAGUGAACUCUGAAGAUGUUAAUUAUUAAUAAAAGAGACAGACCAAUAUUAAUAAGUACAAGAGAGGACAUUUUUGGUAGCAUUAAUAAUUGGUCAAUUGGUACUGGAAGAUGAAAUAUCAAUUGAGAUAUUUUAUGUUACUACCUAAUAUUAUAAUAUAUAUAUAUAAAAAGUAUAUGUUAUAUAUUUGUGUGGUUGUAAGAGAAAGAGAAAGAAAAGGAUAAGAAGAGUAGGUAGUAAGAGAGAAAGAGUUAUCAGAAAAAAAGAAAAGAAGAAAGGGAAGAGUAGAGAAGAGGAAAAGAGAAGAAAGAAGAAGUGAGAAAGAAGGAAGAAAGGCUUGGAGGAGAAAAGGAAAAGCUCAUCAUCACCAUUUUCUACUCAUCAUCCUCACCAACUUCAUUUUAUUCUUUUACUAGGUGAGUUCUUAGAUAGAUUUAGCCUUUGGGGGAAAAUAACCUAUGUUUAGGGGUUAGGAUUUGUGUGAAUUUGUGAUGAACUUGUUGUGUUCAUACUCCUCAUCCAUGCUAUGUGUUGAUAUCAUGUUGUUGUUGUUGAAAUUGUGAUACUUGGGUGUUUAAUUUUGAUGUGUUUUAUUGUUGAAGAUAUGGAGGUUAAUCACAUGAAUUCAUAACAAUAUAAGUUAUUCAUGAAAUAUUCCCAUGAAUCAUGAGUUAACCAUGUUUUCUAUGAUUAUGGUGUUGUUGUAAUUGAACAUGGUUGUUGAGGUUGUUAAGAACAUGUGUUUAUGAGGUUGAGGAUUCCUUGAGUGUUGGUUGCUGAUGGUUUAAUUCUAUCUACUUUUUCAAAAGACAUUCUAAAGGCGGAAUUGAAUGCAGUACACUCAGGUAUGUUUCAUUUUUAUCUUAUAAAAUAUAAUUUUUUCUUUUGAAUGAACAAAAAUACUAAUAUGUUUAUCUAACAAAUUAAUGUAACUCCAGAAUUUUAAGAAAGACAAAAUGAUUCGGCAUAUAUUCUUAAUCAAUUUAGAUGCCACUCAUCAAAACAAGGCCACCAAUAUAAUAAAGUGUUUUUAAUAGGUAUGUGUAUUUUGUUCUUCACCAUUAAAUUUUUAUAUUGUAUAAUGUAUAUACUUAUUAUUCAUUUUUUAUUACUUUUUCAUGAACAUGUAGGAAACAAAGAGAGUUUGAGGGUGGAGGGGGAAGUCGGUUAUGAUGAUCUUUACGACCAAGUCUUUGAGUUCUACCGUAGUAAAUACUGCGGAAAGGUGAUGAAGUUAGUAGUUAUAGGAGGAGGUAGUUUUAAAUACUAAAUCUAUUAAAGUUUCAUUCUUACCAAUUCAUCACGUUGUAUAUUUAAAAUUAUCAUAUUUAGUACAUAAUGAACAUAUAUAUUGUCCUUACUAAGCUUCUUGUAUACAGAGCCUAUUCAAAUUCUUCAAGGUUGGGUUGAAAGUUUUUUCAACUCUAUUAAAAAGUGUGACGUGAAAAAGUUUCGAAAACAAGUAUAUCCAACUGGGUUUCAAUGGUACCUCUAUCCCAUUCGGGUUCGACAGUGAGUUCAGGCAAAACAUAGAAAAAGAAUGCUUCCAAAAAAGCAUUCUAUUUGGAAAUUCGGUAUUUUAUA